CUAGAGGCUUAACACAUGCAAGUCGAGGGGCAGCAUGGUCUUUUCUUGCUAAGGCCGAUGGCGACCGGCGCACGGGUGAGUAACGCGUAUCCAACCUGCCUUACACUCUUGGACAGCCUUCUGAAAGGGAGAUUAAUACAAGAUGUUAUCAUGAGUAAGCAUUUUCGCAUGAUUAAAGGUUUACCGGUGUAAGAUGGGGAUGCGUUCCAUUAGAUAGUAGGCGGGGUAACGGCCCACCUAGUCUUCGAUGGAUAGGGGUUCUGAGAGGAAGGUCCCCCACAUUGGAACUGAGACACGGUCCAAACUCCUACGGGAGGCAGCAGUGAGGAAUAUUGGUCAAUGGACGAGAGUCUGAACCAGCCAAGUAGCGUGAAGGAUGAAGGUUCUAUGGAUUGUAAACUUCUUUUAUACGGGAAUAAACGAAUCCACGCGUGGAUUUUUGCAUGUACCGUAUGAAUAAGGAUCGGCUAACUCCGUGCCAGCAGCCGCGGUAAUACGGAGGAUCCGAGCGUUAUCCGGAUUUAUUGGGUUUAAAGGGAGCGUAGAUGGGUUGUUAAGUCAGUUGUGAAAGUUUGCGGCUCAACCGUAAAAUUGCAAUUGAUACUGGCAGUCUUGAGUACAGUUGAGGUAGGCGGAAUUCGUGGUGUAGCGGUGAAAUGCUUAGAUAUCACGAAGAACUCCGAUUGCGAAGGCAGCUUACUAACCUGUAACUGACAUUGAUGCUCGAAAGUGUGGGUAUCAAACAGGAUUAGAUACCCUGGUAGUCCACACGGUAAACGAUGAAUACUCGCUGUAGGCGAUAUACAGUCUGCGGCCAAGCGAAAGCAUUAAGUAUUCCACCUGGGGAGUACGCCGGCAACGGUGAAACUCAAAGGAAUUGACGGGGGCCCGCACAAGCGGAGGAACAUGUGGUUUAAUUCGAUGAUACGCGAGGAACCUUACCCGGGCUUAAAUUGCAACCGAAUAUGGCGGAAACGCUAUAGCUAGCAAUAGCGGUUGUGAAGGUGCUGCAUGGUUGUCGUCAGCUCGUGCCGUGAGGUGUCGGCUUAAGUGCCAUAACGAGCGCAACCCUUGCCGAUAGUUACUAACAGGUUAUGCUGAGGACUCUGUCGGGACUGCCAUCGUAAGAUGUGAGGAAGGUGGGGAUGACGUCAAAUCAGCACGGCCCUUACGUCCGGGGCUACACACGUGUUACAAUGGGGGGUACAGAGGGCUGCUACCACGCAAGUGGAUGCCAAUCCCAAAAACCUCUCUCAGUUCGGAUUGAAGUCUGCAACCCGACUUCAUGAAGCUGGAUUCGCUAGUAAUCGCGCAUCAGCCACGGCGCGGUGAAUACGUUCCCGGGCCUUGUACACACCGCCCGUCAAGCCAUGGGAGCCGGGGGUACCUGAAGUGCGUAACCGCAAGGAGCGCCCUAGGGUAAAACUGGUGACUGGGGC
This 1439-nucleotide ribosomal RNA is filed under the name uncultured organism. RNAcentral's name for it is "SSU rRNA". It matches the Rfam family "Bacterial small subunit ribosomal RNA". The record is from RNAcentral.